RNAcentral lists this ribosomal RNA (253 nucleotides) under uncultured bacterium. Its description in RNAcentral is "partial 16S ribosomal RNA". It matches the Rfam family "Archaeal small subunit ribosomal RNA", at positions 474 to 727 of the family's 1478-position model. The record is from RNAcentral.
UACCAGCACCCCGAGUGGUCGGGACGAUUAUUAGGCCUAAAGCAUCCGUAGCCGGUUCUACAAGUCUUCCGUUAAAUCCACCUGCUUAACAGAUGGGCUGCGGAGGAUACUAUGGAGCUAGGAGGCGGGAGAGGCAAGCGGUACUUAGUGGGUAGGGGUAAAAUCCGUUGAUCCAUUGAAGACCACCAGUGGCGAAGGCGGCUUGCCAGAACGCACUCGACGGUGAGGGAUGAAAGCUGGGGGAGCAAACCGG